AGCUUUAUAGUCAAAGUGUUAUGAUUUUAGACUGCAAUUCUAAAGUUAGGGUUAAUGAACCCUUAAAGCUU
Molecule: transfer RNA, 71 nt
Filed under: Megacopta lobata
Lineage: Eukaryota; Metazoa; Arthropoda; Insecta; Hemiptera; Plataspidae
Description: tRNA-Cys
Source: RNAcentral